GUGCAGUGAUACCUUCGUCAACACAUCAGUCUGGAGAAAAGCGUGUGGUGACUUCCUGCGACUCAGCACA
Cynocephalus volans (Philippine flying lemur) is the source of this 70-nucleotide small nucleolar RNA. RefSeq annotates it as small nucleolar RNA SNORD63. The transcript has a single exon. Lineage: Eukaryota; Metazoa; Chordata; Mammalia; Dermoptera; Cynocephalidae. The record is from RefSeq and is a predicted model, not a curated record.